AUGGCCGCCACCUCCCGCGACGCCCCUGUCCCGCCCGCCAUGCCGGACCUCGUCCGCGACCACCUCUACUUCGGCGACAUCAACGACGCCAUCGCGGCCCUCACCGCCUCCCUCCCGGACGGCACAUACAUCACCCACGUCCUGUCCGUCGUCAGCUCCGCCUCCAUCUCCUUCUUCACCGACUACCGCCCGGGCCUCUCCUUACCAACAGAGGAGGCCCGCCGCGUGGUCGCCGGGGAGGACGGAGCGCCCUCGGCGGUGGCCCCAGGGCGGCUGAUGCGGGUGGUGGAAAGGACCGGGGAAGGGCUAAGGGUGACGCGGAUGGCCGUGCCGCUCAAGGACACGGAGGAGGAGAACCUGCUCGACCACCUCGAGCCGUGCCUCGAUUUUAUCGACGAGGGGAGGAAGGCGGGCAACGUGCUCGUGCAUUGCUUCGCGGGGGUCUCCAGGAGUGCUACCAUCACCACAGCAUAUCUAAUGAGAACAGAGCAGAAGUCUCUUGAAGAAGCACUAGAGUCCUUGAAGGAAAUUAAUGAGUCUGUUUGCCCAAACGAUGGUUUCCUCGACCAGUUAAAAUUGUUUGAAGAAAUGGGUUUCAAGGUUGAUACUUCAAGUCCUUUAUACCGGCGCUUCCGCUUAAAAUUGUUAGGUCAGUCCUACAAAGUUGGAGAGAAAAUAGGGAACCAUGUAUUUGAAGACGAUCCUGGAGUUGCUCGACAGCCUAAUCCUACCCAGGAAUCAUCAGGCAAGGAGAAGACCCUUAAAACAGCAUACCGCUGCAAGAAAUGCAGGAGGAUCGUUGCUGCACAGGACAAUGUUAUCGGCCACACUCCUGGUGAAGGCAACUCGAGCUUUGAGUGGCACGACAAGAGGAAAGGCCACACACACAACAAGGAACAAGAUUGCUCUUCUCUGUAUGUUGAGCCUCUAAAGUGGAUGACUCCAGUAGAAGAUGGUGCUUUGGAGGGGAAGCUGUCGUGCAUCCACUGCGGGGCGCGCCUAGGGUACUUCAACUGGUCAGGGAUCCAGUGCAACUGUGGCAGCUGGAUCACCCCUGCCUUCCAAAUUUCCAAGAGCAAAGUUGAUGUAAGCACCAUCUAG
Molecule: ribosomal RNA, 1101 nt
Filed under: Triticum aestivum (bread wheat)
Lineage: Eukaryota; Viridiplantae; Streptophyta; Magnoliopsida; Poales; Poaceae
Description: partial small subunit ribosomal RNA
Source: RNAcentral